UCCAGAGGGGGCAAGCGUUGUUCGGAAUUACUGGGCGUAAAGGGCGCGUAGGCGGCCCGCUAAGUCGUACGUGAAAUCCCCGAGCUCAACUCGGGAACUGCGUCCGAUACUGGUGGGCUUGAAUCCGGGAGAGGGAUGCGGAAUUCCAGGUGUAGCGGUGAAAUGCGUAGAUAUCUGGAGGAACACCGGUGGCGAAGGCGGCAUCCUGGACCGGCAUUGACGCUGAGGCGCGAAAGCUAGGGGAGCAAACGGG
Molecule: ribosomal RNA, 253 nt
Filed under: uncultured bacterium
Lineage: Bacteria
Description: partial 16S ribosomal RNA
Rfam family: Bacterial small subunit ribosomal RNA
Source: RNAcentral